Long non-coding RNA from Scylla paramamosain (green mud crab), 594 nucleotides. RefSeq lists it as uncharacterized. The record is from RefSeq and is a predicted model, not a curated record. The transcript is spliced from 2 exons. Lineage: Eukaryota; Metazoa; Arthropoda; Malacostraca; Decapoda; Portunidae.
ACAUGGGAUUGGCUGUGAUGUUCUAUUUCUGGUUCCUCUUGGUAUCCUGCAUCCCAGUGGUACCUGCACUUCGUCUGGAACGUAAGAUUAUACAAAGAGAGGCUCAUUACUUCAUUUACUGAACUUCCUGACUGCUUCUUAAAAUUCUUUCCAUGACAACUUUAAACAAAGACGCAUCACAGACAAAUUUAUGAGUACACUUUUCACAUAACGUGAUUUAUUCGUAUUUCUCAUAAUGCUACUCUGCUUCAGCACCUCCCAAUCACUUUCUUCUGUCUUUCUCUGCUGUGAAAAAUUCCUUUAACGUGGUGACAGGGUCUGAAGUGUUGUCGGCAGCCACGAAGAACAGCUGGGAGGCAUACGCGGUAACAGCGGUGAAGGAUGUCCUGCUUGUGUCCUCAAAAAGCGACGCCUCUCUUGUCAUUAUUGGUGGUAAAGGCUUCUCGAGGGAAGUCAGGAGGUUCAUCGGAGUCUCGCGGAGUGUAGCGGUGUUUGAGGCUGCCAGUAAUGGGUCGCGGCUUGACAAGGUCGUCAAAAGCGCCCGCCAGGUAGGACUCAGGCCUGCGUCGGCAAAGUUUUUGUUGCUAUUGUUGC